AUGUAUGUGUCAAAUACCUGACUGCGCCCAGCAUCACGUGGUACGGCUCAUUAUAUUGUUGUGUACUGAGGAACAUGUAACUUGGUUAGUCAAGGUUGGGGGCUUUAGGUUGGGGGCUUUCAUCAAGGUUAGUGUUUCUGUAGGUUGGGGGCUUUCAUCAAGGUUAGUGUUUCUAUAGGUUGGGGGCUUUCAUCAAGGUUAGUGUUUCUUUAGGUUGGGGGCUUUCAUCAAGGUUAGUGUUUCUUUAGGUUGGGGGCUUUCAUCAAGGUUAGUGUUUCUUUAGGUUGGGGGCUUUCAUCAAGGUUAGUGUUUCUUUAGGUUGGGGGCUUUCAUCAAGGUUAGUGUUUCUGUAGGUUGGGGGCUUUCAUCAAGGUUAGUGUUUCUAUAGGUUGGGGGCUUUCAUCAAGGUUAGUGUUUCUAUAGGUUGGGGGCUUU
Long non-coding RNA from Oncorhynchus tshawytscha (Chinook salmon), 435 nucleotides. The record is from Ensembl. NCBI's taxonomy places the organism in Eukaryota, Metazoa, Chordata, Actinopteri, Salmoniformes, Salmonidae.